RNAcentral lists this ribosomal RNA (492 nucleotides) under uncultured bacterium. RNAcentral describes it as "partial 16S ribosomal RNA". It matches the Rfam family "Bacterial small subunit ribosomal RNA", at positions 30 to 507 of the family's 1533-position model. The record is from RNAcentral.
AUUGAACGCUGGCGGCAUGCUUUACACAUGCAAGUCGAACGGUAACAGGGUAAGGGGUUCCUCCGAGGGGCGACGGGGGGCGUAAUGGUUCGGAAUAUAUCCGAAGCUGGGGGAUAAUGGGGGGAAACGUAGGCAAAUACACGCUGUGACCGCAGACGAACUGCGGGUGACAGAAGGGGAUUGUUUGACCUCGCGCGUUUGAAUGAGCCGAUGUCGGAUUAGCUAGUUGGCGGGGUAAAGGCCUACCAAGGCGACGAUCCGUAGCUGGUCUGAGAGGACGAUCAGCCACACUGGAACUGAGACACGGUCCAGACUCCUACGGGAGGCAGCAGUGGGGAAUUUUGGACAAUGGGCGCAAGCCUGAUCCAGCCAUGCCGCGUGCGUGAAGAAGGCCUUCGGGUUGUAAACCGCUUUUGUCAGGAACGAAACGGUGCCCGUUAAUACCGCGCGGUUAUGACGGUACCUGAAGAAUAAGCACCGGCUAACUACGUG